UAAUCAUUUAGCGCUCGCACUGUGAUUUAACAAGCUUCAAACUGUUCUGCAGCCACUGUUUUGCUUCUAUGUCUAGCACGUCUUGAAUGUUCGUGCAAACUGGCAAAGUUACACACUACACGAUGGAUAGACGAUCCUCCUUCUGUGUCCAUAUUAACAUAUUUGGAUUACAUAGAUACAUAGAUAGUACUUUAUUGAUUCCUUCAGGAGAGUUCCCUCAGGAAAAUAAAAAAAUUGACAGCGUUACGGCGCGUGCGCAGUCAGCUUUUCAUUCCACAGCACUUGCCGCUGAGCUUCUGCUGCUGCCACGCGCCUGCACGACUGUGCGCAAUCACCGAUCAACACACCUGCUGCUGAUGAGACCACUCCCCAUAAAAGCCAGCGUGUCUUGAGAUCCAGUGCUGGAACGUAGUUCUCUGUUUACAUAUUCAUUUCGUCUCCCUGGACUCGAGCUGUGCGCCUCAUUUCCUUGGACUUAGCCUCUGGAUCUUUACUGAUUCCCUGGACAACGACCUCUGCUUUUGGGCACGGACCUCUUGACGCCUCUCUCCAGCCUCAUGGACCUCCUGCUUGAAUUACGGAUUCUUCUACCAGCCUCGCCCUACUGGACUUGUCGCCUUCUCACUCAACGUGCACUUACAACAACCCCUGCAGCAAGAAGCUCCGCUGAGCGCGGCCACAUGCCUACACGGCUGCGGGCAAUCUGCAAUCAGCACACCUGGAUCUGAUGAGUCUCGACAGUAUAAGGACCAACGCAGCAGACGAUCCAGCACCGGAACGUAGUUCUCUGUUUACAUAUCCUCCGUCGCCUUGGAAGUGAGCUGUGCACCUCACUUUCCUGGUUCUCCCUCUAGACCCUGACUGCCUCCCUCGAUCCUUGACUUCCCUCACUUUGGACCCGGACCUCAGGACGCCUCUCUCCAGCCCCCACGGACCUCCCGCUUGGAUCAUGGACCUCUUUCUGCCCAGCCCCUUUGGACUUGUUUGCCUCUCCAACCAACACACACUUACAAUAAACUCCUGGUAAUACUAUCUUGUUAAUUCCUGCACAUAAUAUUGAAUGUACACACAUAGUAGCAUACACACUCCACUCACUCAUCAAAGCUCAAUAUACCCUGUUGAGCGAUACUUCCUGUGUUGUGCCGUCUCCUUCCCCCUUGCCGUACAUGACACGGACCUCUAAAACAAAAUCAAAGUGGUAGAAAAAUAAUUCACGGAGCAAUUAUGAUGGGCUCUCGCAGCCUUUGCUGCUCAGAUGCUAAUAAUAAUGUAAAUAAUAGGUGUUUAAUUUUUCAAAUCCAAAAAUUUAUUAUUUAAAAAAAUAUAUAUACUUUUUAUAAUCUUUUCUCAAAAAUUAUGAAUCAAUUUAGAAUCUAAAAAGAUAAAAAUCGCAGUUUGGAUGUUAAUCUUUUUUUUUUUUUUAGCAUCCCUACCAUUUAGCACUUGCUAUUUGGCUUUUAGUGGAUCAAAGUCCACAAUCCAAUUGCACAGUGUGAUGUUCAGUCAAAGGUUCUAUAGUUUGUAACAGAGUCUGUAGGGCUGGAAUGUGUUUAAAGCCAAACUAAAAUCAAUGAAGAGCAGCCUUGGGUGUUGUUGGUUGUUGAAAUAUUCUGCCUGUAUGCAAAUUGAUUUGGAUAGAGGGAUAGAGGUAUGGCCUUUUUAAAGUGUUUAAUUCCCACAAUGCAGUAUUUCUGUCUCUAAUAAUUGUUGUACAGUAUAUUACAUCAUGUGUCAUCCAAAGAUUUCUAUUUGGCACACACACUUGUUUUAAUUGUGUCACAUUGUUCAUAGUAGGUGUAGGGUCAUAUGCGCUAUGUAGCGCUUUCCUAUCAGCCAAAAAGUAUUUGUGUGAAUGUACCUUGUUGCAAACCCACUGUAUUUACAUUCAUGAAGUCAUCUUGAUGGGAGUUCGACAAUGUUGCUAGACUUACAAACCCCGUUUCCAUAUGAGUUGGGAAAUUGUGUUAAAUGUAAAUAUAAACGGAAUACAAUGAUUUGCAAAUCAUUUUCAACCCAUAUUCAAUUGAAUAUGCUACAAAGACAACAUAUUUUAUGUUC
Molecule: long non-coding RNA, 2058 nt
Organism: Entelurus aequoreus (snake pipefish)
Lineage: Eukaryota; Metazoa; Chordata; Actinopteri; Syngnathiformes; Syngnathidae
Exons: 4
Source: RefSeq, a predicted model, not a curated record